RNAcentral lists this long non-coding RNA (1026 nucleotides) under Felis catus (domestic cat). RNAcentral describes it as "lncRNA (ENSFCAG00000043739.2)". The record is from RNAcentral. Lineage: Eukaryota; Metazoa; Chordata; Mammalia; Carnivora; Felidae.
CUUUGGGAUUUUUUUUUCUAAAAUGGCUACUUUUGCUCUUACAAAUUUUACAAAUCAUUUCAAAAUAAAAUUAUUUUCUUCUCCUGAUCCGUUGAUUUCUUAAGUAUAUGCUUGAUCUGACCAUUGGGAAAUCCAGCAUUACCCCGUAGCCUGAUUGCCCAAGGCCAUAUUCUUUAUCAUAGAAUUAAGAACUCAUGAUGAUCUAAUUUCUGCCUACCUCUCCACCACCACCUCCUACUACUCCAAUCCCCAUGAUUUGUGCCUCAGGCACCUAUGUCCUUGCAGACUCUACAGUGGGAACUAAGGUCUUUGUUCCUGGGGAAUGCUGGAGUUGUGCAGCGUGGUAACCCUGUUUUGACUAUAUUUACCUUCAUUGAAGUUACUCCUAGUCCUAUCCCCUAGACACACACACACACACACACACACACACACACACACACACACACACACUAUGCAAGUUCAAGUCUGUGACUUCUUUCAUGCUUCCACAUUACAUGGAAUGCUCCCCCUACCCCAUCUCUCAGACCUAUUCGCCAAGUUAAUUCCUACUACUCUUUGAACCUCAACUCAGACACCCUCUUCUCCAGGCAGCCCCUCCCGAGUGCUCUACUCCUUUACUCAUCACCCCUGCGGGUCUUCAGCAACAUAUUCCAUAUUGGUCUACAAUCACCUUUUGCUAUUUCUCUUCACCGCUAGACUGUAGGAGUGGUAAGGGCAAAGAUUAGUUCUUCUUCAUCUUCAGUCUCUUUAGUUUGAUGGAAUCAAUUAUUUCAAGUUCUUUGCAACAUUGCCUCCUGAAAGUUAUAAUACAGGAGGCUAAAGUCAUUCCUCAAAAAUAUAUGAAAUUGUCCAAAAGCCCUCAGCAUUCUUCCAUCCUUCCUCCUCAAUACAGCUGUCUCACUGCCAAGCCCUGGGUACUUACACACCAGAUUUUCCCAAGAUGUUGUCCAACAGGAAACAUCUUCCUGGAUUUUGCCAUGCCUAGGUGAGGACACUGAGGAUCCAAGAAACAAAGUGACUGUCCUA